AUGUGGGGAAACCGAGGCCCAGAAAGGGCCAGGAAUUCGUGUCAGACCGCACAGCAAGGAACUGGGCCCUGGGUCCUUCUGCCAACCCAGGACACUGGGGUUCCGAUGACAAGCAUUCGAGGCCUCGUGCCCCGGGGCCAAGGGGCUGGGCGGGGACCAGGCAGGAUGAGUGUCACAGCCCGGACACAUCGUCAAUACCGUCCUCCGCAAACAGUUGUCACAAAGAAGGUCGGCUUGGCAGAAGCGAUUGCUGACGACUGGCGAGAGCGGUCCCGGAGCCUCCUCUGGACUAGCCCCUCGCCCGAGGGAGCCCUCCCCGAGGUGACCGCAGGCUGGUCACUGAGGCCGUCCCAGUAUCAGCCUCCUCAUCUGGAGAAUGGGGAUGACCCCCACCUCUCGAAUCAAGUGACACGUGGACGAACCAGAAAUUGAAAUCCACACACCCCGCGUGCAUGCACCCCACUGUCAGAGGGACCCUGGGCCAGCCGCCAUGCCACUCGCUGCCUCAGUUUCCUUCUCGGAAAUGGGUGGAGAUCCAGGCUUCUCUCCUCACGCUUCUGGAGGCUGGGAGUCUGAGAUCCAGGCUGGUUCCCCAGAGGCCUCUCUGCCUGGCGUGUUGACGGCCAUCACUCCCCGUGUCCUCACAUGGCCGGCCCUCUGCAUGUCUGUGUCCUACUCUCCUUACAAGGACAUUUGUUGCACUGGAUCGGGACUCACCCACGUGACCUCAUUAUCACCUCCGUAAAGUCCCCAUCUCC
This 758-nucleotide long non-coding RNA is filed under the name Lynx canadensis (Canada lynx). RNAcentral describes it as "lncRNA (ENSLCNG00005002786.1)". The record is from RNAcentral. Lineage: Eukaryota; Metazoa; Chordata; Mammalia; Carnivora; Felidae.